CAAUCUGCCCAUAUCUGGGGGAUAACAGUUGGAAACGACUGAUAAUACCGCAUAACAUCGCAGGAAGGCAUCUUCCCGCGAUCAAAGAUUUAUCGGAUAUGGAUGAGCUCGCGUCUGAUUAGCUUGUUGGUGAGGUAACGGCUCACCAAGGCGACGAUCAGUAGCCGACCUGAGAGGGUGAUCGGCCACAUUGGGACUGAGACACGGCCCAAACUCCUACGGAAGGCAGCAG
RNAcentral lists this ribosomal RNA (232 nucleotides) under uncultured bacterium. RNAcentral's name for it is "partial 16S ribosomal RNA". It matches the Rfam family "Bacterial small subunit ribosomal RNA", at positions 122 to 354 of the family's 1533-position model. The record is from RNAcentral.